This 634-nucleotide long non-coding RNA is filed under the name Anser brachyrhynchus (Pink-footed goose). RNAcentral describes it as "lncRNA (ENSABRG00000020085.1)". Lineage: Eukaryota; Metazoa; Chordata; Aves; Anseriformes; Anatidae. The record is from RNAcentral.
CCAACUACAAAAGCAGCUGUUUCAGACCAAAAAAGUUUGUUGCAGUUUGCUCCCAGCUGACACUAUUGUGCCGCGCAACAGCCUCCAGAAUAUCUGCCAUGGGACGAGACCUUUUGGCUGCAGGAGUCUGUCGCUGUUCAAGCAUGGCCCAGAUCCUUAGAUAAAGGUACCAGCUCAGUCUCUGUCGGAGACGGUUGUGGGCCACGCAGAUGACUGCUGUGGAGCUGCCUGGCUGGUCUACGAGUUUGGGGAGAGAGGGCAGAAGAAGCAUGUGGACAGAAGUUACACAUCACAAGUUGGCCAGUGGCAGGCUGCAGACUAGAAAACAGCUCUCCCAUUUCCAGUGUGAUACUCCCCAGUGCAUGGCUCUGCUUCUCACGGUAUGGUAGUUCAUCAGCAAUUACUUAGAGUGUGUAGGAUAGGGAAAAUUCCUAGACCAAUCUGAUGAAAAUCCUUGAUGAAAGAUAAAUGAAUGCAGACAAGGAGGAACUCCUAGUGUGUGGCAUUGGAAAUCAGCAUAACUGAUAUUUGAGCGAAUGCCUAGACUGAUUCCGUCCUGCAGCUGGUAAAUGCAUACUGUUUGUUAUGCCUCUCUCACCUCUGGUAAGAAAACCCUGUCACUGCUAGUGACUGC